GUUCUUACCUGUGGAAGCUGCAGACCUGCCACUAACUUUAUCGAUCACCUAUAACCGAUCCCCUUGGUUUUCAGUAGAUUUGGAAUCCAACAAGGGUGACCGCUCUUCAGUAUGCCAGUUCAGGUGUACCUCCUACCCGCUUACCUCGCCCGUGUGUACCCAAAACAGUGCCCAUUUUGGCAAAAUUGAUGGCUCUUUGGGCCCAGCGGAGUGCGCAUUGCCCAAACCUGCGCUUGGGAGCUGCACCUUAGCCUAAACAAGCUGGCUGACCGAAGCACGCGCAAGCAUCCUUCCGCUUUGAAACGAGUUUGCACCGCGUUUUUCACCCCCGACUGCUUUGCUUUCGGGGCGCUACUUGGACGCAAGACCCGAAGUGAAGUCCCGAAGGCGAGAUCUGAAGGCAAGAGGAUUCCUCUGCUCACCUUGAUCUGACACACUCCAAGGCCCCAGUUAACUAUGGGUUGUAUGGGGCGGACGGGUGCAAACUGGCUGCGCCCCGCAGAGGCGCUCGCUCUCCGGGUCCGGGUCUCCGAGGGCAUCUGGUGUCAGGUUGGCUUGUGCUGACUACCUGCAGCGCGCGCAGAUCCCAGGCCAGGGAAAAGGGCGCCGUGUAACCGGGACGGCCAGUUACUCUCCAGGGAUCGGGUCUUAGUAACUUAAGAAGCGCCUCAGAACUACUGGUGAGCGUGUUAAGGCACCUCCUUGCACAACCUCCCACUCCUUCCAGAGCCUCGCAUAUUUCCCUUCUCUCUCCUGCCUUCCCCCUAAACCCCCGCGGCCCCGCCCGUUAAAGGAGCGCGCCUAGCAUUCGAUUUACAAAGCUGCCGUUUUAUAUGUUUAUUCGCAGCUAAUUGCUUAUGCAGGAAAAUACUCUUUACCCGGACCAAGGCCUUCCGCCGGGCGCUGACAGACCCCCGCCGGCGGCAGCUGUCUGUUGCCACCCGCGAAGUAGUGAAGGAACCGGCGGCGAGAGGGCUGCAGUCUCCGCCACCGGCACUGCUUAGGACUCCCGGUAGGGGGAGUCGCCGCGGGCGCUAGGCCAACCUGGGUCCAGGCCUCAAGUCCGCCCUGCUGCCAGCGGCAACCCUGCGUGAAAGGCCUGCCCUCCAGGUGCGCGCGGCCAGCGGAAGAGAGAACACAGGGCCGAGCUCGCCCCUAAUUCCGGUGGUUGUACAGCAAAGAAGAUAAGCAAGACAGAAGAAUAUUGUUUAGGUCCAGAUAUAGCAAAUCCCUGAAUGUGAACAAGGAGUUGAAGAUUGGAUCACAUUGUUCUAUUAGAUCCAUCUUUUUUAGACAAAAUAAUGCAAAGAAUCUUAUGUUACUUCAUCACCAAUGAAGUGUUUUUGAAUUUUUAUUAAGCAUCUCUCUGGAAUAUUUUGCUCAGCUGUUCUGUAUACACUUCUGUCCCCUACACCAGAGGCUCCUCAGACAGGUGAGACAGGCAGGGACUAUCUGCUGAGUGGUCAUUUCAAAGUCCUCCAGAGAGGGCGAUGCUCAGGCAGGUAGAACAUUGUCUCAUAUGGUCCCAGAGAUGUAACAUUACAUUGGCUCAGAGCACAGAAAAAGAGGCUCACAGACUAUGUCCUCUGGUCUUUGAUUCUUGCUACAGGGACACAAGGUGUCAUACCAAAUGAUGAGAAGACCCUAGGCUUACUCUGAAAAACAUUUCUGUCACGUUUCUACAUUAAACUUGUCCAGGGACCAAUAUUGUUUUGUUCGGUGUUGAUGAAAAAAUAAAAUAUUGUCAUUUCCCUCUCUAUUA
Manis javanica (Malayan pangolin) is the source of this 1762-nucleotide non-coding RNA. The record is from RefSeq and is a predicted model, not a curated record. NCBI's taxonomy places the organism in Eukaryota, Metazoa, Chordata, Mammalia, Pholidota, Manidae.